This 4071-nucleotide long non-coding RNA is filed under the name Mytilus galloprovincialis (Mediterranean mussel). Lineage: Eukaryota; Metazoa; Mollusca; Bivalvia; Mytilida; Mytilidae. The record is from RNAcentral.
GCACGAUAGAUAAUGACAAACAAACGACGGAAAUUACAUAAUAAAUCCACAGCGUGUGCAUUUGACUCUAUCUUACUAUACUUGUCAGUACAUGGAGGAAAGGUCCGUGUCAAAUGUAUUUUUAAAGAUUAGGAACGACGAUUCAAUUUCCAUUUGUUUAUUGUUUUAGUCGUGGUUGAAACGUCACCAGGAACAUAUCAGGAUAGACAACAGAAGUCUGUAAGUUUCUAUUUUAUGUAUUUAUAUAUUAACAUAGAUAUUAUAAGCCUUUCAUGUCUUCUGUUGACACAUUUUCAUAACUAUAUGCACCGUUUUAGUAGAUCACAGAUGUCCUUUUCGAACAUAAAGAACCUCCCCGAAAAGACACACCUCAGCCGAAUCUUUCUUCUCAAAUGAAUGCCUGAAUGGUCAUCAAAUUAAUACUUGUUAUUGGCAGGCAUUUUCGAAUAAUUCUAAAAACAAAAUGUAUCAAUUCUGACUGCAAUGAAUUGAAAUGGAAAAUAAUAUACAUUGUAUCUCGAGGGAAAUGUACACACUUAAACAACAGUGAAUUUUUCAUAAAUAUUAUAUAAAAUAGUAAAAGUGUAGCAUACAUAAUUAUCAUGUGUAUUAACGAUUAAACUCUGGAAGAAAUAUAGUCCAGCAUAAAUACAAAUAUACAGGCUUCAGCACAUUAUUAGCACCUGUCAUUGGCAAAAUCCCUUUUUUCUUAUAGUGCUAUAAUCUGGAUAACACACAGCUAAUGUGUGCAUUAACUAUACCUAAGAUAUACUGCAUCAUGUGCAUGAAAGGGGGGAGGGUAAUGGAAAAAAUAAAUUUUCUCAGAAAGGUUUCUCUUUCUUCAGAGGUUUAUAUGGAAAGUUGAUGUCUAGAUCUGUUGUGCAGUGUCAUGUGGGUUUUUUUUCGCCUGUAUGCGAGACAUAGGCAUGAUGGUAUUGCAACCCAAAACUUGACGUCCAUAACCCAACGGCGGUGGCGACGAUGGAGUACACUAUUUGUUUGAAGCAUUAUAUUUCAUAAGUUAGACAACCUAAAUGCUUCAUACCUUAUGUUACGAGAUUUCCGUCUGUCAUAUGUCCAUUGUCCCGGUAACCUAAUUUUCAUGGGUUUAAUAACUGCUUGAUACGUUUUGUUUUGUUAAAUGAAAAACUUACUUAUUAUGAGUUAGGAUAACUAUGUUUGGUAUAUGGGUUCCUAGCAACAUUUACAUGUUCGUCAGCUAGGUACAUGUAGGGUUAUCCUGACCUCGACCUUAUUCCAUGGAUCAGUUAUCAAAGAUAAAGUAACUUAUGCAAGACCGUAUCUAGAUACUAUAACUAGUAACAUGAUUGUGAGGUGCACAUAUCCACCUGACAGGUUCCGUCUGACCUUGACCUCAAUUUCAUGGUGCACAAAUAUAUAUAUAUAUAUAUAUAUAUAUAUACGAGUCUAAAUUGAAAACUACGUUCAAACCUAUGAUUGCGUUGGAUAAAAACCGCAAUUUUUAUAUAUAGUGUUUGUGGUUUGGUCUAUCUCUCAGAUACUUUAAGCAGUAGGACCACUAUAUAGGGUGUAUCAUGUAUUGAAUAAUUGUCAGCUGGAAAUGUCCGUCUGACAGGUCUCAAUUGACCUCGACUUAAUUUUUAUGGUUCAUUGGACAUUUUUUAGUUGUGUGGUUGGGUCAAUUUUUCGGGCAUUAUAAUCAAUAGGUCAAUAAUAUGUAGUGUAUGGAACAACUGUGAUGUGUCAUGUCUAUUUGUCGGGGUUAACAUGACUUUGACUUGUUUGAUGUUAAGAUCCGAUUCUCAGGUACUAUUAGCAAUAUGACAACUAUUAUACAUUGUAGUUGUGCAUUGAUAGUGUUAAGUAUACUGAUAAUUGUAGUAAAACCUCCAUACUAAAGACUUUCAACAUGAUUUGAAUGAUAAGUAAAAAAAAAUGCGAGACAUGUGCACUCAUAUUUUGGUAAUAACAUGUUUAAAGUGUUGACUCAAUUACAUGUACCUAAAUUUCAAUAUAUUUUUGUAUCAGAGUGCUGAAGGAGCAUCUUUAAAGUUUUAAGAGGGGAAUGAAUAUUUUGUUGAAGGGGAGAAUGUGUUGGAUACAUUACUCACAUUUUUGCCUAACGGAGCUGCUGUUCCUUUUGGAACAUGUCUUACUUGUUUUCUGGUAUAUUGAAUGGGGUAGGUAAAAGUAUUGCCAACACCAUUGAGUCCUGUGUUUUGUUUAAGACUUAAUGAAACAUGCAUUUAGUUGUUAUUUGUGUCUUCAGUUCGUUGUCUCCUAGGCAUGAACCAUUCAUCUGUUUUAAGACUCUACGAUUGAUUGAUUGAUCAUGACUGGCUGACUGUCCAAUGGCAAAUAUUACAUGCAUAUUCAGGAAGUUCGGAAUGAUACAUGCCAAUACUGAUAAAAAAUAAAGAAAUAUGCCUGAAGAAAAACAAUAACAGAGUAAGUGUUCCUGCAUUUUAAACUAAAAUAUUUCUUGUAGAGUGAGAAAACUGUUAUGAAACACCAGCAACAAAGACUAUAUUGUUAUUCAGUCCUGACUUAUUCCGUGUCUCUGAAGAUGAAGAUCAGGUAUGUAAUAAUGAGGUUUUAAUUUGACUUUUAAAUUGUAAAAGUUUAAUGAGUUACUGUAAGUUAAUCAAGUUCACAAGGUUGGAUAUAAUGCAACUUUACCACUUAUUUUUGUCAACAAGUUGAGCUGAGAACUGAUCAACUCGUGACUAUUAUAAGCUUCCAUAUCCCUUUAUUGUAUAAAAAUUCAACAAUUACUGUCCAGGUGCAUAAUAUAGCCAUCUUUAUCUUGCUGUAUCCAGAGGCAAUAUAUAUAAGAAAAUGUGGUAUGGGUGCCAACAUGGCCAAUGAGACAACUCUCCAUCUAAGUCACAAUUUAUAAAAGUAAACCAUAAAAGGUCAAAGUACGGACUUCAACACGGAGCAAGACUAUUAUUAACUACAAUAAAGAGAGUGAAUAAUAUUAUAUAAGCAAAAUACACAACAUAAUUAAGAUUAAAAGAAAGACAGACAAUUUCUUCAUCAAAGAUUAUUAAUUUUGCUAUGAUAACUAAAAAUAUUAACGAAAUGACUAUUUUGAUAUAAUUAUUUAAAUCGUAUACCCAAACAUGUCAAAGGGAAAACUUUGUUUUUCAUAUUUGAAAUUGUUUUGAAUUUGUCGUUAUUUCUUUCAGAUCAGGCCUAUCCAGAAGCAAGAAACGGGACAUUUUUUAGCACGUACAUCUACAGAGAGAGACAUGUUUAAAAAACAGAUUUAUUUUCAAUUUAAGAAAAACCUGUUGAACUUUUACUAUUUCUUAUUUGUUUAUUUUAUAUUUAUAUGUUGAUAUUUUAAAAUUGCUGCACAGUAUUUCUAUUCAGACCCAAAUAACAAAAUCAGCUGAAGAAAUUGAUAUUUUCAUAUUUCAAGGAAGUGUCCUUUUGCAUUGUUGAUAGCAGAUAUAUGUAUUGUCUUAAUUUGGGUUCAAGAACAGUCACAUCGCAACUUAAAAUAAAAUACGUUUUUAUGAAUGUUACAUGUAAAUAGACAUGAAAGAUAGACAUAUAUAAGAACACAUUUUUUUAUGACCUAAAUGUAUUUUCAAGGUAAAUUUAUUAUGUAAACUUAUUAAGAGGCUGUCCAAGUAUAUAUCAGUCAAAUCCUAUGAUAUUGGUGGCGCAACAUAUUUUUUUUUCCCACUGAAUUUUUGGAUCCAAUGCAACGUUUAUAUCAUACAAAGGAUAUAUAUGUCAAAGAUAUUUUUGAAUCAUCAGUGGAUGGCUCAGAAAAUGAUUUUAAAGUUCACUAACAAUGCAACAAAAUUUUGUACAAAAUGAAGAGUUAUCUCCCCUUUUCAAUGAAUUUGCAGUGCUUUCUAUGUAUUUUUUUCUCUUUAUUUGUUGUAGUUAAUAAAAAAACAAAAUUUAACUUUAAAAAAGAAUGAAAUUGUGGUAUGAAAUAGAUGAAAAAAAUUUGAAAACAAAAUAUGUCAUGUGCCACCAACUGCCUUGUUUUUCCAUGGACACCCUCUUAAAUAUUAUCAAAAACACCGCUGGUUUAAAAUAAACUCAUUCUAUGAAGCCUAAACUAAU